GGAGAGGGAGCCUGAGAAACGGCUACCACAUCCAAGGAAGGCAGCAGGCGCGCAAAUUACCCAAUCCCGAUACGGGGAGGUAGUGACAAUAAAUAACAAUACAGGGCUCUUAUGGGUCUUGUAAUUGGAAUGAGUACAAUUUAAAUCCCUUAACGAGGAACAAUUGGAGGGCAAGUCUGGUGCCAGCAGCCGCGGUAAUUCCAGCUCCAAUAGCGUAUAUUAAAGUUGUUGCAGUUAAAAAGCUCGUAGUUGAAUUUCGGGGUUCUACCGUUGGUCGGGCAAUAGUCUGUACUGGCGUGUGGAAUUUCUACCUUCUGGGGAACCAUCAUGUUAUUAAUUUAGCGUGGUGGGAAACCAGGACCUUUACCUUGAAAAAAUUAGAGUGUUCAAAGCAGGCUUACGUCUGAAUACAUUAGCAUGGAAUAAUAAAAUAGGACGGUGGUCCUGUUUUGUUGGUUUCUGAAUCACCGUAAUGAUUAAUAGGGAUAGUUGGGGGCAUUAGUAUUCAAUUGUCAGAGGUGAAAUUCUUGGAUUUAUUGAAGACUAACUUCUGCGAAAGCAUUUGCCAAGGAUGUUUUCAUUAAUCAAGAACGAAAGUUAGGGGAUCGAAGACGAUCAGAUACCGUCGUAGUCUUAACCAUAAACUAUGCCGACUAGGGAUCGGACGAUGUUAAUUUUUCUUGACUCGUUCGGCGCCUUAC
RNAcentral lists this ribosomal RNA (701 nucleotides) under Gigaspora gigantea. RNAcentral describes it as "SSU rRNA". It matches the Rfam family "Eukaryotic small subunit ribosomal RNA", at positions 385 to 1091 of the family's 1831-position model. Lineage: Eukaryota; Fungi; Glomeromycota; Glomeromycetes; Diversisporales; Gigasporaceae. The record is from RNAcentral.